RNAcentral lists this long non-coding RNA (625 nucleotides) under Homo sapiens (human). RNAcentral describes it as "HSALNT0393598". Lineage: Eukaryota; Metazoa; Chordata; Mammalia; Primates; Hominidae. The record is from RNAcentral.
GUCUACCAGUUGCCACUUCUGGUCCAUUUGCAUAUAACACUGGAGAAGUGUUCCUUUAUCUUUGUGAAGCCCUUAACAUUCAAGGAGCCACUACUGCUUCUAUGCUGCUGAAAAAUACAAGACACUGCCUCUACCUCUGCAUCUGUCCUUUGCUUUUUGCUUGGAAACUAUCACAUCAAAUCACACUGAGAUCAGGAGAUGAGAUGAAGGAUCAGCUGAGGAACAGUCAUCCCAACAGUAGUGCCUGGUAAGACGGUGAGGCUAUUCCCACUCCCAGCAUCCUCUGUUCUCUUCUGGACCAACCCAGUUAUUCAAUCCCUGAGCUUUCUCAUGUGGUUCUGGUAAAUCCACUUUUUGCUUAGUUCCUACUGAGCUCUCACUGGCAAACUAUCAGUAGAAGAAGCCUGGCUUCUUUCUCUGCUAGUGUUGGCGUCUCCCUGCUUUCUUCCUUUCAAAUGAUGGUAUUAGAUCUGUCUUUCUCUACUACGAGCUGCAAUGCCCCUGUUACAGAAAAAAAAGAUUUGAGGAGACAGCUUGAAGCACCAUGGUUGUUUUCUUAGAAGUUCUCUGUAAAAUUUUUCAUGGUAUAUGAUCUUAAAAAUUAAAAACAAAAUUUACUGAAAAA